GGACUACCAGGGUAUCUAAUCCUGUUUGCUCCCCUAGCUUUCGCGCCUCAGCGUCAGGUUUGGCCCAGAAAACCGUCUUCACCACCGGUGUUCUUCCACAUAUCUACGCAUUUCACCGCUACACGUGGAAUUCCGUUUUCCCUAACCAUCCUCUAGCUCAGAAGUUUCAAAUGCAGCUCCGGGGUUGAGCCCCGGAAUUUCACAUCUGACUUUCUGAGCCGCCUACGCGCCCUUUACGCCCAGUAAUUCCGAUCAAUGCUUGCACCCUCCGUAUUACCGCGGCUGCUGGCAC
This 292-nucleotide ribosomal RNA is filed under the name uncultured bacterium. RNAcentral's name for it is "partial 16S ribosomal RNA". The record is from RNAcentral.